GACGAACGCUGGCGGCGUGCUUAACACAUGCAAGUCGAACGGAAAGGCCCUGCUUGCAGGGUCCUCGAGUGGCGAACGGGUGAGUAACACGUGGGUGAUCUGCCCUGCACUUCGGGAUAAGCUUGGGAAACUGGGUCUAAUACCGGAUAGGAGCCAUCUUUAGUGUGGUGGUUGGAAAGUUUUUUCGGUGUAGGAUGAGCUCGCGGCCUAUCAGCUUGUUGGUGGGGUAAUGGCCUACCAAGGCGGCGACGGGUAGCCGGCCUGAGAGGGUGUACGGCCACAUUGGGACUGAGAUACGGCCCAGACUCCUACGGGAGGCAGCAGUGGGGAAUAUUGCACAAUGGGCGCAAGCCUGAUGCAGCGACGCCGCGUGGGGGAUGAAGGCCUUCGGGUUGUAAACUCCUUUCGCUAGGGACGAAGCUUUGUUGUGACGGUACCUAGAGAAGAAGCACCGGCUAACUACGUG
This 466-nucleotide ribosomal RNA is filed under the name uncultured bacterium. RNAcentral describes it as "partial 16S ribosomal RNA". It matches the Rfam family "Bacterial small subunit ribosomal RNA", at positions 28 to 507 of the family's 1533-position model. The record is from RNAcentral.